Non-coding RNA from Solanum lycopersicum (tomato), 2315 nucleotides. Lineage: Eukaryota; Viridiplantae; Streptophyta; Magnoliopsida; Solanales; Solanaceae. The record is from RefSeq and is a predicted model, not a curated record.
UAGAAGUUGAUGUAUGUGCCCUUAACAAAUUAAAGGUUGUAUGAACUUCAAUUGUCAAGGAAAAUAUCCAUUGAAAGAUUGCAUAAAGAUCUUGCAGAGAUUCUCAAAAACUUCAGAAGUAUUGAUGACGAGGUGGGUAUAUUGUAGUUUGAGUAAUACUUUUUCUUAGUCUUGCCAAUACACAACUUCUAUAAUUUACUUGUUUAGAUUAUUAGAUUUUAUUCUUCUAACAUGUCUCCUGUCAGUGCCUUUUAUUCUCUUUUGGUUAAUUGAGUUUGUUGUUUUUCUUGGUCUAGCUUUGUGUUGUUUUUUCAGAACAAUUGAACAAUGGUGGUUGUUUCAGGAAAGCAACCCUUGCAUCCACAGAGAUUUUUGGGUUCAAUCCUGAUGAAUACAUUCUUCAAAAGUUUUGGAAACUUUGCUAAUGCAACAACAUAUUCCAGGUAGUUUUUGCUCUCCUAUUCAUUGUUUUCUUUCAAUGCGUGUCAGUUGUAGCUCAAAUGUUACUAUUGUACAGAGGAAUAUUGUAUGGCUCUAAUAGAAUUAUAUUUAAACUAUAGAAAAACCUGCAUCUAGAUAAUUAAUUUUUGGUAUCAUGCUUCAUAUUAUAACACAUUUAUUUAUCGAAGAAACUUGAAUUAGAAUUGAGAUGCCAUGUAGUCUUGAUCUAUACUUUCUUAUUAGAUUUCUAUUAAAUAUCUAUGGCUAAGUUUAAGUGUUAACAGAGAAAGGGCCAAAACUACCCUUCACCUAUGCAAAUUGGUAAUCAUUGUUGUUGGGAAGUUGGUUGCUACUGAUCCAGUUCCUAAGGUUAGGUGUAUCAUGUUUUCAACUAAGAGAAUAUAGGAACUUCUAAGAAAAAAUUAGGAGAAUUUUAAAUAUACUUCUUUUUGUGUAUUUGUUCAAUAAGGCAUGGGAUCGUCCAUUUUCAAAGAUUGUGGAUCUCGCAUUCGUAUUUCCACAUUGGUCUCAACCAUGCUCCAUUACAAAUCUUCCAACACUAUUAGAGUAUUGGUGCCAAGAUAUCGAUCUUUUACUUGCUAAUAAUUAAUGAAUCUAGUUUUUUUAAGAUCUAAAAAUAUAUCAAUAUUCUGGAAUGGUCAAAUCUUCUAGCUUGCCUUCUCCAUUUGAUGUCCCUUUUCAACCAAUGACUUCCCAAGUAUAUGGGAAGGGAAAUCGUGUAGCAUUUUGAUCGCUUUUGGAGCCACACUACAAUUAAAGGCCCAUUGUGAUUAUUCUGUAAGAAUUACUCAUUCCUCUUUGAAAAGUCACGUUACCUUAUCAGUUCCUAAAAAAAGUCAUUACAGAUAAUCUUGUUCUUUGAAGGUGAAUUGCUUCCUUCCUAUUCAAGGAAUGAAACCAUUAGAAGCUUUGUUGUGCUUGCUUGCUUCAAUUCCUCUUUCAUAGAUUCUAAUUAUAUUUUACUUUGUUGUUGAGUCUUUUUUGUUAUAUCUAUUGAGAUGGUUUACACAAGCUUAUUAUUAUAGGACGUUCAUUCAUUCAUUUGCAGAUAUUUUUGAAAGCCUUGGAGCAACUUUAAAUGUUGCUAAACCAACAAAAGGUUCAAGUGUGGCCAAAUUUUUGAUUGGGGUUGUAGGUAAGCUAUGAGUAUUCUUCACAUGGCAAAUAACUUUCUUUUUCUGUUUCUUUAUUCCAUAUAUCUGUUUAUCUUCCUAAUGAUCUUAUCUCAUUUGGUAAGGCUACAGAAUGAACAAGAAUUGUUGGUGCUUCAAGAAUAAUUGGUGUUGAUUAAAGUGCUAGCAUAUUUGAGCUAGGUAAUUAAUUUGUGCCUUACACAUUCUUGAUCCAUUAUUUCAUAAUUCCUUCCUUGUACUGGAAAGUUAAAGUGGGGGUCGUGUAUUAUGGUCCACGGUAAAGCAAUUGCAGCAAUUUGUUUCCGUUAGUGUGUGUGUCAGAUGUUAUACACACUCUCUCUUUUCUUUCUAAAACGACAAGGCAGUGCUUGCAAAUUCCCAACCUUGUUAUUAAGAGAAUCUGUAAAGGAGAUUUGCCUUUAGUUUUCUGAUGAUGAUGAUAGAUAUUAGUAAAAUUUAACUGUUUCUACAAGCAAAAUGGGCAUCUAUGCUCCCUGGUUUUUUCACUUUGUUUUAUUAAAGUGAUCUUACCUUUAUUUUUUUACUUCCAUGUUAUUAAGAGGCAGAUAAUUAUUUUGAUGGGGAAGGGGAUGAUAUCCAUUUGGGGAGAGGUAUAGUCAAAAUUUGGGACUUUGUGACAGCCUAAGGUGUGGGUCUCAUGUAAAGACUUCUGUAUGGGUCUCAAUACAACUAAUUAACCAGUUAGUUGUUGUACAAUUG